GUGAGGAAUCUUCCACAAUGGGCGAAAGCCUGAUGGAGCAACGCCGCGUGAAGGAUGAAUGUCUUCGGAUUGUAAACUUCUUUUAUGAGUGAAGAAUAUGACGGUAACUCCUGAAUAAGCACAGGCUAACUACGGGCCAGCAGCCGCGGUCAUACGUAGGGUGCAAGCAUUAUCCGGAGUGACUGGGCGUAAAGAGUUGCGUAGGCGGUUAUGUAAGCGAAUAGUGAAACCUGGUGGCUCAACCACACAUACUAUGAUUCGAACUGCAUAACUCGAGAAUGGUAGAGGUAACUGGAAUUUCUGGUGUAGGAGUGAAAUCCGUAGAUAUAAGAAGGAACACCAAGGGCGUAGGCAGGUUACUGGGCCAUUUCUGACGCUAAGGCACGAAAGCGUGGGGAGCGAACCGGAUUAGAAACCCCAGUAGUCC
This 427-nucleotide ribosomal RNA is filed under the name uncultured bacterium. RNAcentral describes it as "partial 16S ribosomal RNA". It matches the Rfam family "Bacterial small subunit ribosomal RNA", at positions 354 to 796 of the family's 1533-position model. The record is from RNAcentral.